AGAGUUGAUCUGGCUCAGGAUGAACGCUAGCUACAGGCUUAACACAUGCAAGUCGAGGGGCAGCAUAUCGAAAGCUUGCUUUGAUGAUGGCGACCGGCGCACGGGUGAGUAACGCGUAUCCAACCUUCCCUAUACUAGAGGAUAGCCCGGCGAAAGUCGGAUUAAUACUCUAUGUUCUUCGUAGAAGACAUCUGAAAUGAAGCAAAGGUUUACCGGUAUAGGAUGGGGGAUGCGUCUGAUUAGGCUGUUGGCGGGGUAACGGCCCACCAAGCCCACGAUCAGUAGGGGUUCUGAGAGGAAGGUCCCCCACAUUGGAACUGAGACACGGUCCAAACUCCUACGGGAGGCAGCAGUGAGGAAUAUUGGUCAAUGGACGAGAGUCUGAACCAGCCAAGUAGCGUGCAGGAUGACGGCCCUAUGGGUUGUAAACUGCUUUUAUACAGGGAUAAAGUGCACUACGUGUAGUGUUUUGUAGGUACUGUAUGAAUAAGGACCGGCUAAUUCCGUGCCAGCCGCGGC
Molecule: ribosomal RNA, 519 nt
Filed under: uncultured bacterium
Lineage: Bacteria
Description: bacterial SSU rRNA
Rfam family: Bacterial small subunit ribosomal RNA
Source: RNAcentral